RNAcentral lists this ribosomal RNA (2741 nucleotides) under Acinetobacter baumannii 44839_8. RNAcentral's name for it is "bacterial LSU rRNA". It matches the Rfam family "Bacterial large subunit ribosomal RNA". Lineage: Bacteria; Pseudomonadati; Pseudomonadota; Gammaproteobacteria; Moraxellales; Moraxellaceae. The record is from RNAcentral.
UCAAGUAAUUAAGUGCAUGUGGUGGAUGCCUUGGCAGUCAGAGGCGAUGAAAGACGUGAUAGCCUGCGAAAAGCUCCGGGGAGGCGGCAAAUAUCCUUUGAUCCGGAGAUGUCUGAAUGGGGGAACCCACCUACUUUAAGGUAGGUAUUGCAACAUGAAUACAUAGUGUUGCAAGGCGAACGAGGGGAAGUGAAACAUCUCAGUACCCUUAGGAAAAGAAAUCAAUUGAGAUUCCCUCAGUAGCGGCGAGCGAACGGGGAUCAGCCCAUUAAGUUAUGUGUGUUUUAGUGGAACGCUCUGGGAAGUGCGAACGUAGAGGGUGAUAUUCCCGUACACGAAAGGGCACACAUAAUGAUGACGAGUAGGGCGAGGCACGUGAAACCUUGUCUGAAUAUGGGGGGACCAUCCUCCAAGGCUAAAUACUCCUGACUGACCGAUAGUGAACCAGUACCGUGAGGGAAAGGCGAAAAGAACCCCUGUGAGGGGAGUGAAAUAGAUCCUGAAACCGCAUGCAUACAAGCAGUGGGAGCACCUUCGUGGUGUGACUGCGUACCUUUUGUAUAAUGGGUCAGCGACUUAUAUUCAGUAGCGAGGUUAACCGUAUAGGGGAGCCGUAGAGAAAUCGAGUCUUAAUAGGGCGUUUAGUUGCUGGGUAUAGACCCGAAACCAGGCGAUCUAUCCAUGAGCAGGUUGAAGGUUGGGUAACACUAACUGGAGGACCGAACCCACUGUCGUUGAAAAGCCAGGGGAUGACUUGUGGAUAGGGGUGAAAGGCUAAUCAAGCCUGGUGAUAGCUGGUUCUCCCCGAAAGCUAUUUAGGUAGCGCCUCGGACGAAUACCAUAGGGGGUAGAGCACUGUUUCGGCUAGGGGGUCAUCCCGACUUACCAAACCGAUGCAAACUCCGAAUACCUAUGAGUACUAUCCGGGAGACAGACUGCGGGUGCUAACGUCCGUAGUCAAGAGGAAAACAAUCCAGACCGCCAGCUAAGGCCCCAAAAUCAUAGUUAAGUGGGAAACGAUGUGGGAAGGCAUAGACAGCUAGGAGGUUGGCUUAGAAGCAGCCACCCUUUAAAGAAAGCGUAAUAGCUCACUAGUCGAGUCGGCCUGCGCGGAAGAUGUAACGGGGCUAAAACUAUGUGCCGAAGCUGCGGAUGUAUACUUUGUAUACGUGGUAGGGGAGCGUUCUGUAAGCCGAUGAAGGUGUGUUGAGAAGCAUGCUGGAGGUAUCAGAAGUGCGAAUGCUGACGUGAGUAACGACAAAACGGGUGAAAAACCCGUUCGCCGAAAGACCAAGGGUUCCAGUCCAACGUUAAUCGGGGCUGGGUGAGUCGACCCCUAAGGCGAGGCCGAAAGGCGUAGUCGAUGGGAAAAUGGUUAAUAUUCCAUUACUUCUGUGUAAUGCGAUGAGAGGACGGAGAAGGCUAAAUCAGCCUGGCGUUGGUUGUCCAGGUGAAAGGAUGUAGGCAUGUAUCUUAGGCAAAUCCGGGGUACUCUAUGCUGAGAUCUGAUAGCAAGCUGUACUUGUACAGCGAAGUGGUUGAUGCCAUGCUUCCAGGAAAAGUCUCUAAGCUUCAGUUACACAGGAAUCGUACCCGAAACCGACACAGGUGGUCAGGUCGAGUAGACCAAGGCGCUUGAGAGAACUCUGCUGAAGGAACUAGGCAAAAUGGUACCGUAACUUCGGGAGAAGGUACGCUGUUGUUGGUGAUGGAACUCGCUUCCUGAGCUGACGACAGCCGCAGAAACCAGGCCGCUGCAACUGUUUAUUAAAAACAUAGCACUCUGCAAACACGAAAGUGGACGUAUAGGGUGUGAUGCCUGCCCGGUGCUGGAAGGUUAAUUGAUGGGGUUAGCGUAAGCGAAGCUCUUGAUCGAAGCCCCAGUAAACGGCGGCCGUAACUAUAACGGUCCUAAGGUAGCGAAAUUCCUUGUCGGGUAAGUUCCGACCUGCACGAAUGGCAUAAUGAUGGCGGCGCUGUCUCCAGCAGAGGCUCAGUGAAAUCGAAAUCGCUGUGAAGAUGCAGUGUACCCGCGGCUAGACGGAAAGACCCCGUGAACCUUUACUGCAGCUUGACACUGAACUUUGACCUUACUUGUGUAGGAUAGGUGGGAGGCUUUGAAGCUGGAACGCUAGUUCCAGUGGAGCCGUCCUUGAAAUACCACCCUGGUAAUGUUGAGGUUCUAACUCUGUCCCGUGAUCCGGGACGAGGACCGUGUCUGGUGGGUAGUUUGACUGGGGCGGUCUCCUCCUAAAGAGUAACGGAGGAGUACGAAGGUGCGCUCAGCGUGGUCGGAAAUCACGCGUAGAGUAUAAAGGCAAAAGCGCGCUUAACUGCGAGACCCACAAGUCGAGCAGGUACGAAAGUAGGUCUUAGUGAUCCGGUGGUUCUGUAUGGAAGGGCCAUCGCUCAACGGAUAAAAGGUACUCUGGGGAUAACAGGCUGAUACCGCCCAAGAGUUCAUAUCGACGGCGGUGUUUGGCACCUCGAUGUCGGCUCAUCUCAUCCUGGGGCUGAAGCAGGUCCCAAGGGUAUGGCUGUUCGCCAUUUAAAGAGGUACGCGAGCUGGGUUUAGAACGUCGUGAGACAGUUCGGUCCCUAUCUACCGUGGGCGCUGGAAAUUUGAGAGGAUCUGCUCCUAGUACGAGAGGACCAGAGUGGACGAACCUCUGGUGUACCGGUUGUGACGCCAGUCGCAUCGCCGGGUAGCUAUGUUCGGAAGGGAUAACCGCUGAAAGCAU